GGACUGGAAUGUACCAGUAUGCCCCAGUAUAACCCAGUAUGGACCAGUAUGGACCAGUAUGGACCAGUAUAGCUCAGUAUGGACCAAUAUGGCCCAGUAUGGACCAGUAUAGCUCAGUAUGGACCAGUAUAGCCCAGUAUGGCCCAGUAUGACCCAGUAUGACCAGUAUGAACCAUAUAGCCCAGUAUAGUCCAGUAUGGAACAGUAUGGAACAGUAUGGCCCAGUAUAACCCUGUAUGGGCCAGUAUGAACCAGUCCCCUCCCAGAAUGGACUAGUAUAGACCAGUAUAACCCAGUAUGGACCAGUAUGACCCAGUAAGGACCAAUAUGGACCAGUAUGGACCAGUAUGGACCAGUCCCCUCCCAGUAUAACCCAGUAUGGACCAGUAUGGCCCAGUAUAACCCAGUAUGGACCCAGUAUAACCCAAUAUGGACCAGUAUAACCCAGUAUGGACCAGUCCCCUCCCAGAAUGGACCAGUAUAGACCAGUAUAACCCAGUAUGGACCAGUAUGACCCAGUAUGGACCAGUAUGGGCUGAACUGGGCUGAAAACUUCCCCCUUUGUUUUAUUCGCCUGUAAAACAACAAGAGGAGAAACAACGCGACCCCCAAGUCCUCCAAGCGACCCCCAAGUAAGUCCUCCAAGCAACCCAUAAGUCCUCCAAGCAACCCAUAAGUCCUCCAAGACCUCUAUGAUCACCAUCGUAGUCCUCCAUGGCAUCUCUAUGGUCCUCCAAGCACUCUAUGGUCACAGCUGAGGUCCUCCAAGGUGUCGCUGGGGUCCUCCAACAACUGUAUGGUCACCAUCGCUGUCCUCCAAGGCCUCACUUGGGUCCUCCAACAACUCUAUGGUCACCAUCAAGGUCCUCCAAGGUGCCAUCGGGGUCCUCCAUCAACUCUAUGAUCACCAUCAAUGUCCUCCAAGGCAUCUCUAUGGUCCUCCAAGGCAUCUCUAUGGUCCUCCAAGAACUCUAUGAUCCUUACGGUCCUCCAAGGCUUCACUUGGGUCCUCCAACAACUCUAUGAUCAAUGGGGAGGACCAUUGGGGAGGGAGAUGGGGACAUAGGGACCAAUGGGGUGGGGGACGGGAACAUACAGACCAAUGGGGUUGGAGAUGGGGAUAUAGGGACCAAUGGGGUGGGGAGAUGGUGUGGGGAUCCCCAAGCAGCCAAUCAGGAGGCCACGUAUGUCUCUGGGAUGGGGAAUAGGGACCAAUGGGGGGCGAGCUGAUCACGGAGGGGCCCAAUAGGAGCCAAUAGGGGCCCAAUAGGAACCAAUAGGGACCCAAUAGGGUUGGGAGGACCCAAUAGGAACCAAUAGGGGCCCAAUAGAACCCAGUAGGGGCCCAAUAGAAGCCAAGAGGGGAUGGGAGGAGCCAAUAGGAGCCCAAUAGAAGUCAGUAGGGACACAAUAGGAACCAAUAGGGGCCCAAUAGAGGCCAAUAGGGUUGGGAGGACCCAAUAGGAGCCAAUAGAAGCUAAUAGGGGAUGGGAGGACCCAAUAGGAGCCAAUAGAAGCCAAUAGGGGAUGGGAGGAUCCAAUAGGAGCCAAUACAAGCCAAUAGGGGAUGGGAGGAGCCAAUAGGAGCCCAAUAGAACCCAGUAGAGGUCCAAUAGGAACCAAUAGGGGCCCAAUAGGAACCAAUAGGGGCCCAAUAGGAGCCAGUAGGGACCCAAUAGAGGCCAAUAGGGAUGGGAGGAGCCAAUAGGAGCCCAAUAGAACCCAGUAGGGGCCCAAUAGGAGCCAAUAGGGGCCCAAUAGAGGCCAAUAGGGGAUGGGAGCACCCCAAUAGAAGCCAAUAGGGGAUGGGAGGACACAAUAGAAGCCAAUAAGGGCCCAAUAGAGGCUAUAGGGUUGGGAGGACCCAAUAGACGUCAAGUUGAUUAUGUUGAGAACCAAUAGGAGCCAUAGGGAUGGGAGGACCCCAAUAGGGAUGGGAGGACCCCAAUAGAAGCCAAUAGGGGAUGGGAGGACCCUAUAGACGUCGAGUUGAUCACGUUGGGGCCCAAUAGGAGUCAAUAGAAGC
This 2026-nucleotide long non-coding RNA is filed under the name Coturnix japonica (Japanese quail). Its description in RNAcentral is "lncRNA (ENSCJPG00005002794.1)". The record is from RNAcentral. Lineage: Eukaryota; Metazoa; Chordata; Aves; Galliformes; Phasianidae.